This 487-nucleotide ribosomal RNA is filed under the name uncultured Entrophospora. RNAcentral's name for it is "SSU rRNA". It matches the Rfam family "Eukaryotic small subunit ribosomal RNA", at positions 569 to 1054 of the family's 1831-position model. The record is from RNAcentral. Lineage: Eukaryota; Fungi; Glomeromycota; Glomeromycetes; Entrophosporales; Entrophosporaceae.
AGCAGCCGCGGUAAUUCCAGCUCCAAUAGCGUAUAUUAAAGUUGUUGCAGUUAAAAAGCUCGUAGUUGAAUUUCGGGAUUGGCGCAUCGGUCGUGCCUCACGGGGUAUGAACUGGUGCAGUCAAUUUCUCACCUUCUGGAGAACCGCGAUGUCCUUAAUUGGAUGCCGCGGGGAACCAGGACCUUUACUUUGAAAAAUUAGAGUGUUUAAAGCAGGCAUUUUUGCUUGAAUACAUUAGCAUGGAAUAAUAAAAUAGGACGGCAUGGUUCUAUUUUGUUGGUUUCUAGGACCACCGUAAUGAUUAAUAGGGAUAGUUGGGGGCAUUAGUAUUCAAUUGUCAGAGGUGAAAUUCUUGGAUUUAUUGAAGACUAACUACUGCGAAAGCAUUUGCCAAGGAUGUUUUCAUUAAUCAAGAACGAAAGUUAGGGGAUCGAAGACGAUCAGAUACCGUCGUAGUCUUAACCAUAAACUAUGCGACUAGGAAUCA